This is a long non-coding RNA of Arachis stenosperma, 2501 nucleotides long. RefSeq lists it as uncharacterized. The transcript has 5 exons. The record is from RefSeq and is a predicted model, not a curated record. Lineage: Eukaryota; Viridiplantae; Streptophyta; Magnoliopsida; Fabales; Fabaceae.
CCCCAUUUCUUUCUCCAACUCUUUCCUUCAGCAAAUGCCCUAGCUCCACCAAAGAAAGCAAACCCUAGCCUUCACCAAUCUUGUCGCCAAUCUUGUCGCCGUCUGUCGGAGUGAGAAACUGCUGCUGCCGCCUCCGUUGCACUCAAGAACUUCCGUCUUCGUGCUAUCGGCGUUCGCUACUUCGAUCUCACCAACCCCUGUUCGCUCUCCAUCCCCUGUUCGCUCUCACGAAUCGCCUGGUUGCCGUCGUCCGCGCGCUCAACAGCUCUCCGUCGUCCGUCGAAGGUCAAUGCUCACUGCUAGUGGCUUGUUCUUCGUGUAUUUUUUAUUGUCUGUUCAGAAAUCAAACCCUCUUCGUGCUUGUUCUUCGAUGUGUUGACCUAUUGAAUAGUAUUCAGCAAUGUUCUGAAAACUGGACCAGACCGGCCGGUCCGAUCAUUUCAACCUCGAACCGGAGACGUAAACCGGAAAUUAUAAAACCGGAUGUGAAUCAUUGAACCGGGCAGAAACCGGCCGGUUUGGAUAAAACAUCACAGUUUUGCGCUUUAUGGGGAGAAACAAAACGCGCUUCUCCAUCUCCUUCCUUAUUCCUUCGAGCAGAACACGCCCUGCCUCAACCCGGGGAAAACCCUAGCCGCCACCACCGCCGCAGGGAGAAGCCGUGUUUGCCGCCGUCCGUCGCAGUCAGGGGCUUGUCUCCUCGAGUCUUCGUGCGUCACAGUCAGGGGAGUUCUCCAAGUCUUCGACCUGUUCGCAGUCACCAGUCGCAGGCGCACCGCUUCUUCCUCCAGCUCGGCGGCCGUUGUGUUGUCGCCGUUGUUUGUCGCCAUCUGUUGCAGUCAGGGAUUUGUCUGAAAUGUUUGUUUUACGGUUUUAAAUGGCAAAGUGAUGCGAAAAUUGGGUGUGGAGGUUGUGGGGUUGGGAGCCCUAAGGUUCACUGGAUUCCUUAGAGAACAAUGCAACAGAAUAACAUGAGUUUUGAAUCAAUGUACAUUGUUCGAAUGCUGAAACAGGUCACUUGUUGCCAACUUAGCAGCUGCUAAUUGCUACAAGUCUGAGCAUUUGAAAAGACCAGAAAAUUGGGCAUUAGUUGAAAAAGCCAAGUAUUACUACAUUGCUGGCUUUUUCCUAACUUUAUCUCCAGAUUCCAUUCAAUUAGUUGUUGAACAUGCUGUUGCAAAUAACAAGGCCUUCACCAUGAACCUUUCAGCCCCCUCAACUUGGAAACAACACUAGAUCCCGUUUAUGGCUUGUUCAGCAAGAAGAAUCUGUUGCUAAGAGAGCUCGAUCUCUUACAACAGAUGAACGCAACUCUGCCUAAGAUUAAACCGAAAAGGUCAUCUUGCAAGGUUCAGGUGCAUGUUCAGUUAGCAUAAUACCAUAGAAUGAUCAACAUUUUCUCACUGAACUAGCUCAACAUUCUUUUGAAAUUGAUAAUCAUUUAUCUCCUGACAUUUCUAAAUUAGAAUCUAAGGUGUUAAAUGAUCCUAUUAACCCUCAAAGUCAAAAUUUAAUAUUUAGAUAUUUCUUUUUACUAUUUAACUUUUGAGUUUGUAUUUUGAUAAGAUCAUAUGAAUUUGGUUAAUGAUUUUUUGUGUAGUGUUUUAAAUUUGGAAGAUAUUUUAGGAUGUUUAUUUAUAAUUUAUUUAUUAUUUUUUUCUAAAACGAUUUUUUUGGUUGAACUACCGGUUGAACCGGUUGGAUCAAUAAACCAAUAAACCAGUGACUAAAACGGUUUGAUGACUGGUCCGGUUUUUAAAAUCUUGGUUAUUAGUUUAACGGUGGUCACUCGUUUACAUGAUUGAUUUAAUUAUAAUUAAAUAAAAAUAUAAAAUUAUAAAAAAAUUAAAAUAAAAAAUUAAAAUAUAUGUUUUCACAGAUAUAUUAAUAACAAUCAAGUAUUAAUUUAUAGAUAUAAAUCACAACUAAUGAUGCAAACAUAUAUAAUAAACUAGUAAUUAGUAUAAAACAUUUUCUUAAUUUAAAUGAACAAAAGAACAAAAUAUAGCAUAAUAAGUAAAUUAAUGUUUAACAAACUAAUCAAAAACAUACUUCAACUAAUUUAUAAAUAAAUCCAUAAAUAUGAUUAUAUAAAUAGUCUAAUAUUGUCCGUGUUUGUUAAUACUCAAUAUUAAAUCGACUCUUAAUAUUACAAGUAAAUUCUAAGAAUAAGACUAUGAGUCUCUACCCAGAAAAUAAUCUCAAAAAAAAUCUCAAGUAAUGAUUUUCAGCAACAAAUCCACCUCAGAAAGAGGAAAAGAAAAGAGAAAAAAAGAAAAUAAUGAAUGGUAUAUAAGAUAUGGUAUAGGAAGAAAUUAAUAAUACUACGUGUACAUUAAAAUCAAUCACUAAAAUCAACUAUUAGUAUAAAAUAUAUAUUGGAAUAUAAAUUUAAAUUAAAAAUAAAUUAAAUUAUAUAUAUUUAUAUAUAAAUAUAUUAAUGGCUGAUUUUAGUAUACAAAUAAUAUUUUUUUAAAAAAAUUGAUCUACACCAUAGAAUA